RNAcentral lists this ribosomal RNA (207 nucleotides) under uncultured bacterium. Its description in RNAcentral is "partial 16S ribosomal RNA". It matches the Rfam family "Bacterial small subunit ribosomal RNA", at positions 568 to 774 of the family's 1533-position model. The record is from RNAcentral.
CGCGUAGGCGGCUUUGUAAGUCGGAUGUGAAAGCCCCGGGCUUAACCUGGGAAUUGCAUUCGAUACUGCAGAGCUAGAGUAUGGUAGAGGGAAGUGGAAUUCCGGGUGUAGCGGUGAAAUGCGUAGAUAUCCGGAGGAACACUAGUGGCGAAGGCGACUUCCUGGGCCAAUACUGACGCUGAGGUGCGAAAGCGUGGGGAGCAAACA